RNAcentral lists this small RNA (1083 nucleotides) under Pongo abelii (Sumatran orangutan). RNAcentral describes it as "processed transcript". Lineage: Eukaryota; Metazoa; Chordata; Mammalia; Primates; Hominidae. The record is from RNAcentral.
ACUUAUUUGCCAUAAUUAAAGAAGGACUUUGCUGCUUUGGGCAAGGCUCUGAACUUAGGUGUAAAGCAUUGCCCUGGAAGAGGGAACCUACCCAGUCCAUUGCUGCCUGCAACAAGAUAUGAACAGUAAUGGCACAUAUUUUGGUUAUGCGUCACUCAGUGGACUGUGGAUUGAAUGAACUGUAUCCAUCCCCAUCAUGAUGUACAGAACCAAGUCUCUUCACUAGUAGGUAUUUUUUUAAUUAAUAUCAUGUACACAGUUAUAUGUUGAGAUUUUCAACAGAGUACCUACUUUUAUAAUGAAAAAUGUGUAAAACACAUGUAUUUGUGUCGCUGGUAUGAAAUAUGGCUAGAUCUAGUCUAUUUCUGUAUCAACCAAUUGUAAAAUGAAGAGGCAUGCUGAGCUGUGUCUAUUAGGUAUAAGUAUAUAAAUGUAAUUAUGUAUACCUAUAUAGGCAGAAUUUAGAAGUAUAGAAUCUUCCCUCUUUUUUAACUGAAUUAAGAAACGUCACUGGACAGUUUCGAUGUCUUCUGGUUAAUAUCAUAUAGAUCUGGUGCCAAUGUAAACUUAAACUUUUUACCAAGUUUAUACUUUGAAACAGUUUAAUUUUAUUAUACAGGGUAUUUGAUGUGCUUCCACUUACAGAUGCACCAUAUUAACAGUUGGUGUAUGAUAUUUACGGCGUUAUGGAAAGAAAGUUAAACUCAGUCAGAAGAUGUUAAUUUUAUUUCAGCUCCAGCAUUUAUCCUCAUACUAGUCCCCUAAUCUCUAGGCCUCAGUUUCUUCAUUUGAAAAAUGAAAGGAAUCAUUUCUGCUUUACCUAGUUCAUAAGAUUUCCUUUGAAGGUCAACAGAGGUAACGGAUGUGAAAUUAUUAGCUAACUCUCAAACUCCGUAAAAAUAAAUAGUGUUGUCUGUGGUCAACUAACAUCACAAGUAGGGAGCUGGAAAAAGUUGUGACCAUAGUUGUCUCUUCAAAUUAAUUAAUGCAGUCUACUAUUUUAUAUGUUACUUACCUAAGAGAUAAAUGAUAAAAUCAUAAUUAAUUUUAAUUUAUGACCCAAAUUAAUUUUGUAUAUUUGAG